Molecule: non-coding RNA, 113 nt
Filed under: Peptoclostridium litorale
Lineage: Bacteria; Bacillati; Bacillota; Clostridia; Peptostreptococcales; Peptoclostridiaceae
Description: Clostridium litorale Glycine sequence
Rfam family: Glycine riboswitch aptamer
About the family: This family represents the bacterial glycine riboswitch.
Source: RNAcentral
CGAUGGAACUCUGAAGAGCUCGACCAAUUGAUAUUUGGUUGACACCGAAGGAGAAAAUGUGUUGUUUAAUAUGCACACUUAAACUCUCAGGUAUAAUAUACAGAGGUGUAAAA